CUUCAUUUAAGGGCUGGCAGCUGCAAUGGAAGUUUCUUUGCUCAGAGAAUGCUUCCUUUGGGGUGUUUGGUGAGCCCUGAUCCUCAGAAGGAGGCUUCUGACAACCCCCAGGAACAAAAUGAAUGCCUGCUUGCCAGCUGAAGGGCAAGCAUCCAGAGAGGGAAAAGUGCUCCUUUUCAGCUCCUACAAGGAUAUUGCAAUCAAUAGAAGUAAAGAAAUGUAAUCCCAUUGCUUGUUACAGCUUUCUGAAGGAAGCAAGAGCUGUGGAGGCUGUGGAAAUCUGAAUGGUUGUCCAUAACGUGUGCCUUGCAAGGAGAAAUGCGAGAGAUUUGGAUGCAAAGACUUUAGGUUUCCCAUCUUUCUAAAGCAUUUUCUAUUGCAGAUUCUAAUGGGAACUGUACACAUGGCUCUACCCUAAUGACUGCCUGCUCUCAGUAGGAGUGGGAGGUCAGGUGAAGUCUCACCUGUGGCCAUUACCAAUGGCUUCAAGGAGAGCCUCAGUGUUAUAAAGCAGCGACUGCAGCCAAGAUGAUGGGGCUGUUGAUGACAGCUGAGAAAACAAGUUCAGAAUAAUUGAAACAGGAGUGGUUCUGGGUUGUCCUGUGUGAGGCUCCACAGAAAACAGCCUGUGGGGAAGGGAGAGAAGGAGGAGUUACAGGAGGUACAGAACCAUGUGGCUGGGAAUCUUUCCUAGCUCACAGAAAAGGGAACAAAGUAUUGCUGGGCUCGAAUGGUUUGAUCAGCAGUGCAGAGACUCCUUUGUUUUCCUCUUUGAUAUCUUUGAGGUGCUCUGAACGAAGGAUCCCCAUCACAGCACAGGAUGCGUAGCUGUAUGGAAGUGGGGUGGGGAUCAUCCAGCACCCUAUGCCCCUGGUGGCAGCUGGAUGGGGAAAGGAGAGGGCUGGGGAGCCCAGCAGCAGGGCUCUGGUGCCCUGGGUACUGCUUUGGCCAUUGUAACACCAGUUCCUAGCCCCUGGGGUUUCUUCAGUCUUUCAUAGAGCAAUGUUUUGUUAGCAGCAGCAAUGCAGGCAAUAAUCAUUCUGUAGCUGCUUCCAUCUUAUGUGAAGCUACAAUAGCUCUGACCUAAACUUAAAAUAAAUGUCACACUCCUCAGGACAGUGUGGGGAAAAUUGAUCCCUGUGAUGACAGCUGAACAAUCAUGGAGAUGCACUUUUGCUGGUUGGAAAUGUCAUCCUCUCUCUAUUUCAUGUACUCUUAGGGCAGUCCUGAACGUGCAGGCUGUUUCUUCCCUUUGCAGUGACCUCCUCAAACCCUCUUCCACCUCAUUGCUUUGCCUUAUUAAGAACUACACAGAGCCCUUUGCUACCCGGGAUUGUGCUCUCACCUCCUGCUGCGCAAUGCCUCCAACACCUCUCAGCUGUGUUAGGUGUUAAGCCUCUGGGCUCCCAUCUGCUCUUUGCUAAGCAGCCAUCCUGCAACAUUGCAAAGGAUUGUGAUGCUCUUCAUCAUCUGUAUCAUCCCCGGUUUUGUCUUCCCACGGCUGUGCUUUCAGUCAUCCUGCUGCCAAGAUGCAGCAGGGCUGCCAGCACAGGAAUGCCAGGAGAGAAGGCUUUGCUUUGCCUCUAAUCCAAGCAGAGGUGUGUGUCCCAGGGAGAGGAUGCUGAUACACACUACAAUGCCCUGCAGAGCAGCCCCAUUCACACUUUAGCAGAGAAGCAUUUUAAUUAAUUGUCAACAGUUUUUUAAUAUAUAGAUUUAGCAGCUCUGCCUGAGUAAAUGCUGUUUGAGAGAUUAAAU
Gallus gallus (chicken) is the source of this 1758-nucleotide long non-coding RNA. The record is from Ensembl. NCBI's taxonomy places the organism in Eukaryota, Metazoa, Chordata, Aves, Galliformes, Phasianidae.